UACGUAGGGUGCGAGCGUUAAUCGGAAUUACUGGGCGUAAAGCGUGCGCAGGCGGCUAUUUAAGCUUGCUGUGAAAGCCCCGGGCUUAACCUGGGAAUGGCAGUGAGGACUGGAUGGCUGGAGUGUGGCAGAGGGGGGUGGAAUUCCGCGUGUAGCAGUGAAAUGCGUAGAGAUGCGGAGGAACACCGAUGGCGAAGGCAGCCCCCUGGGCUAGCACUGACGCUCAGGCACGAAAGCGUGGGGAGCAAACAGG
This 253-nucleotide ribosomal RNA is filed under the name uncultured bacterium. Its description in RNAcentral is "partial 16S ribosomal RNA". It matches the Rfam family "Bacterial small subunit ribosomal RNA", at positions 524 to 776 of the family's 1533-position model. The record is from RNAcentral.